This 438-nucleotide ribosomal RNA is filed under the name uncultured bacterium. Its description in RNAcentral is "bacterial SSU rRNA". It matches the Rfam family "Bacterial small subunit ribosomal RNA", at positions 28 to 479 of the family's 1533-position model. The record is from RNAcentral.
GACGAACGCUGGCGGCGCGCCUAACACAUGCAAGUCGAACGAGCGAGAGAGAGCUUGCUUUCUCGAGCGAGUGGCGAACGGGUGAGUAACGCGUGAGGAACCUGCCUCAAAGAGGGGGACAACAGUUGGAAACGACUGCUAAUACCGCAUAAGCCCACGGGUCGGCAUCGACCAGAGGGAAAAGGAGCAAUCCGCUUUGAGAUGGCCUCGCGUCCGAUUAGCUAGUUGGUGAGGUAAUGGCCCACCAAGGCGACGAUCGGUAGCCGGACUGAGAGGUUGAACGGCCACAUUGGGACUGAGACACGGCCCAGACUCCUACGGGAGGCAGCAGUGGGGAAUAUUGCACAAUGGGGGAAACCCUGAUGCAGCGACGCCGCGUGGAGGAAGAAGGUCUUCGGAUUGUAAACUCCUGUUGUUGAGGAAGAUAAUGACGGUACU